AUACGUAGGUGGCGAGCGUUGUCCGGAAUUAUUGGGCGUAAAGGGUGCGUAGGCGGUCUAUUAAGUCUGAUUUGAAAGGUCAUGGCUUAACCAUGGAAUUGGAUUGGAAACUGGUAGACUUGAGUGCAGAAGAGGAAGGUGGAAUUCCACGUGUAGCGGUGAAAUGCGUAGAGAUGUGGAGGAACACCAGUGGCGAAGGCGGCCUUCUGGUCUGUGACUGACGCUGAUGCACGAAAGCGUGGGUAGCAAACAGGAUUAGAUACCCUGGUAGUCCACGCCGUAAACGAUGAGUACUAAGUGUCGGGGGAAACCUCGGUGCUGAAGUUAACGCAUUAAGUACUCCGCCUGGGAAGUACGGUCGCAAGACUGAA
Molecule: ribosomal RNA, 371 nt
Filed under: uncultured bacterium
Lineage: Bacteria
Description: bacterial SSU rRNA
Rfam family: Bacterial small subunit ribosomal RNA
Source: RNAcentral